This 344-nucleotide transfer-messenger RNA is filed under the name Paracoccaceae bacterium. RNAcentral's name for it is "Rhodobacteraceae bacterium (activated sludge metagenome) partial transfer-messenger RNA". It matches the Rfam family "Alphaproteobacteria transfer-messenger RNA". From Rfam's summary of the family: Bacterial tmRNA, also known as 10Sa RNA or SsrA, is named for its dual tRNA and mRNA-like properties. Its role is to liberate the mRNA from a stalled ribosome. Lineage: Bacteria; Pseudomonadati; Pseudomonadota; Alphaproteobacteria; Rhodobacterales; Paracoccaceae. The record is from RNAcentral.
CCUCUUGAGGCCGCGCGGCCCUCCCCUUAUAUUGGCCGUGUUCCCGGCAACGGGGACUAUGGACAUAAACGCGCUCGGAAUAAGCGGAUCGGACCCGGGGGCGGUACCCGGCGGCUCCACCAAAGUCCUUCAUUGGGGGCAAAUGGGGCCGAAACAGGAUCGACGAACGUCUAAAGGGGUUUGCUUUGUCCCGGUGAGCGACCACCGUUAUCGGUGCAAACAGUACAGUUGCCAAUGACAACCGUGCUCCGGUGGCUCUCGCCGCGUAAGCGGUGCGAAAAACCGAAAAUCAAGUCCUGAGCCUUUGCCGGCCCAGGCGGGGUUCGCAGGCACCUGGCAACAGA